UCCUUGGGCGAUCUUGGAUCUUAAUUAGUACACUCACGUUCUCUGUGGAAAAUUGAUACUCUGGAAUACUCCCGGGUGAAGGCUACAUCGGUAUCCGUGCGCUUGCGGAUUUUUUUUGUUUGCGUUUAAAAUACCCAACAAUUACAAUAACAUAAGUUCCAAAUACAUUGCUAGCAUAAGUGACAUCCUCUGACAAAAGCAUGUAGAUGAGAACACUAUAUAGAAUCACCGAGCCCAAC
This 239-nucleotide long non-coding RNA is filed under the name Sorghum bicolor (sorghum). RNAcentral's name for it is "long non-coding RNA (SBIC_LNC012326)". Lineage: Eukaryota; Viridiplantae; Streptophyta; Magnoliopsida; Poales; Poaceae. The record is from RNAcentral.